Molecule: ribosomal RNA, 687 nt
Filed under: Triticum aestivum (bread wheat)
Lineage: Eukaryota; Viridiplantae; Streptophyta; Magnoliopsida; Poales; Poaceae
Description: partial small subunit ribosomal RNA
Source: RNAcentral
AUGACAUCACUCAUCCACCAACAUCUGUUGCGUGCACGACAGCAGAUGAAGGACUCAGCAGACAAGCGCCGCUCUGAUCGCACCUUCGCUGUUGACGACUGGGUUUUCCUCAAAUUGCAACCCUACGUGCAGCGUUCGGUGGCCACCCGUGCUAAUCAAAAGUUGGCAUUUCGCUACUUCGGCCCGUACCAGGUUGUCCAGCGCAUUGGUGCCGUCGCAUACAAGUUUCGCCUACCGGAGUCCAGCACCAUGCAUCCAGUCUUCCACGUCUCCCAGCUCCGUCAAGCGCUACUGCCCACGGAGCAGGCGCAAGUUCAACUGCCAGCAGCAGCGGCUUCAAGUCCGGUGCCGGAAGAGAUCCUACAGGACCGUCAAGUCCAGCGGGGCGGCACUCAGGUACCACAGGUCCUGGUACGGUGGACAGAUCAACCAUCUGAACUUGCAACUUGGGAAGAUCGCAUGGAGCUGCUGCAACACUUUCCGAGGGCGCCAGCUUGGGGACAAGCUGUGUCUCAUGGAGGGGGGGAUGUCACGGCCCCUGACAUGGCGACCCCACCGACUGCAACCAAGACAGCUUCUGUUGGGCUGGAACGACCUCGCCGACAGCCCAAGCCCAACAGUCGCUUCCUGGCCCAAGUGUGGGAUACCACGGGCAGGGUUAAAGGGAGACCGAGCCCUCCUGCGUGA